GGGCUGCUAGCUCAAUUGGAUAGAGCGUAUGACUACGGAUCAUAAGGUUGAGGGUUCGACUCCUUCGCAGCCCACCA
RNAcentral lists this transfer RNA (77 nucleotides) under Gammaproteobacteria bacterium. Its description in RNAcentral is "tRNA-Arg". It matches the Rfam family "tRNA". Rfam says of the family: Transfer RNA (tRNA) molecules are approximately 80 nucleotides in length. Their secondary structure includes four short double-helical elements and three loops (D, anti-codon, and T loops). Lineage: Bacteria; Pseudomonadati; Pseudomonadota; Gammaproteobacteria. The record is from RNAcentral.